GUGGGGAAUCUUAGACAAUGGGGGCAACCCUGAUCUAGCCAUGCCGCGUGAGUGAUGAAGGCCUUAGGGUCGUAAAGCUCUUUCGCCGGGGAAGAUAAUGACGGUACCCGGUAAAGAAACCCCGGCUAACUCCGUGCCAGCAGCCGCGGUAAUACGGAGGGGGUUAGCGUUGUUCGGAAUUACUGGGCGUAAAGCGCGCGUAGGCGGAUCGGAAAGUUGGGGGUGAAAUCCCGGGGCUCAACCCCGGAAUUGCCUUCAAAACUCCCGGUCUUGAGGUCGAGAGAGGUGAGUGGAAUUCCGAGUGUAGAGGUGAAAUUCGUAGAUAUUCGGAGGAACACCAGUGGCGAAGGCGGCUCACUGGCUCGAUACUGACGCUGAGGUGCGAAAGCGUGGGGAGCAAACAGGAUUAGAAACCCUGGUAGUCC
This 425-nucleotide ribosomal RNA is filed under the name uncultured bacterium. RNAcentral's name for it is "bacterial SSU rRNA". It matches the Rfam family "Bacterial small subunit ribosomal RNA", at positions 354 to 796 of the family's 1533-position model. The record is from RNAcentral.